RNAcentral lists this non-coding RNA (27 nucleotides) under Cricetulus griseus (Chinese hamster). Lineage: Eukaryota; Metazoa; Chordata; Mammalia; Rodentia; Cricetidae. The record is from RNAcentral.
GGUUUGAACAAGAAUGGCCCCAUAAGC